Molecule: ribosomal RNA, 260 nt
Filed under: uncultured Glomus
Lineage: Eukaryota; Fungi; Glomeromycota; Glomeromycetes; Glomerales; Glomeraceae
Description: partial 18S ribosomal RNA
Rfam family: Eukaryotic small subunit ribosomal RNA
Source: RNAcentral
AAGCUCGUAGUUGAAUUUCGGGAUUAGUACGUCGGUCGUGCCUUAGGUACGUACGUGGUGUUACGUGGUUCCUACCUUCGUGACGAACCAUCAUGUCAUUAAUUUGGUGUGGUGGGGAAUCAGGACUGUUACUUUGAAAAAAUUAGAGUGUUUAAAGCAGGCUCGCGCUUGAAUACAUUAGCAUGGAAUAAUGAAAUAGGACGUUGAUCCUAUUUUGUUGGUUUCUAGGAUUGACGUAAUGAUUAAUAGGGAUAGUUGGG